Sebastes umbrosus (honeycomb rockfish) is the source of this 859-nucleotide long non-coding RNA. RefSeq lists it as uncharacterized. NCBI's taxonomy places the organism in Eukaryota, Metazoa, Chordata, Actinopteri, Perciformes, Sebastidae. The record is from RefSeq and is a predicted model, not a curated record. The transcript has 3 exons.
AAGAUGAUAAUAUAUAUCACUGUCUCUAAUUAAUUUAUUAAUUUGUAUUUAUUUAUAUUAAUUAAUUAAAAAGCUCAUACUCACCUUUUUUGUCCGAGCAUCCACAACUUGAACAGCAGCUCAGGAGGUGGUGGAUGCAAGUAAGAGGAAAAAACGAAAAGUAAUGGUUAAUAAAACAGUCAAAUAAUGUUAAGUGAUAUGAAUGAAUAUGAUAUGAAUAAAUGGGUCACAAGUUAGAAUCUCAUACUCACUUUCUUCGUCCGGAGUAAACAGUAGCAGCUCAGGUGGUGCAGUAAGAUAAGGGGAGAGAGAGACAAGAAAAUAGUGAGUAUAAUAAUUCAUUUUUGAAUUUUUGACUGUGUAAUACUUUAUGGACAACACACAAUAACAUACAAUAACAUUACUUUCUCUGUCUCUAUAUUAAAGACUAUUCUAAGUCACUUUCUUCACGUCAGACACUUGUACUUACCUUCUUCGGCCAUAUGAAGUGAAUGGCCGUAGUUUAGUUUGAAUCCAGGAAUGGUGGGUUGAUCUCCAGGACUUUCUUUUUGUAUUAAAUGCCACUGACCUCUAGCAGGCCAGUGUGCAACUGAUUAAUGUACACCUCUGUUUGUUUUCUAGCUGUUUUUGCAGCUUUUCUCCAAUUUUUUUUCCCAAUUUCAGAGGCUGUAGGUGGAGGUUUGGUGGCAGCUGUCUGCCAGAAUCUGCAGGUGGAGGCGGCAGCUGCAGGUUGCUGGCAGAGGCUGUAGGUGGAGCUACAGUGGUCUUGCAGAAUCUUCAGAUGGAGGCGGAGGUGCAGGUUUAUGGCUGUACGUGGAGGUUCAGACUGCAGCUGUCUGCCAGAAUCUGCAGAUGGAGG